RNAcentral lists this long non-coding RNA (1421 nucleotides) under Homo sapiens (human). RNAcentral's name for it is "HSALNT0180792". Lineage: Eukaryota; Metazoa; Chordata; Mammalia; Primates; Hominidae. The record is from RNAcentral.
CUUGAUGAUUUCCUUAAUUACUGUUAAGUUUACAAUAAGAGUUAUCAGAAAAUCAUUAAAUAUUCUUUUCUCUUUUACCUUUUCCAGUACCAGCUCUCUCUUUACCCAACAAAAGGCAUGUAUAUGCCGGGUGUGGUGGCUCAUGUGUGUAAUCUUAGCACUUUGGGAGGGUGAUGUGGGUGGAUUGCUUGAGUCCAGGAGUUUGAGAACAGCCUGGGCAACAUGGCGAAACCCCAUCUCUAUAAAAAAUACAAAAAUUAGCCAGGCAUGGUGGCGUGUGUCUGUGGUCCCCGCUAUUCAGGAGGCUGAAGAAAGAGGAUUGCUUGAGCCUGGGAGGUGGAGGUUGCAGUAAGCUGAGAUCACACCACUGCACCACAGCCUGAGACCCUGUCUCCAAAACAAAAGGCAUAUAUCUAUCUUAGCACAGAUUAGAGUUUGUUGUAAAAGAAAUGUCAAAAUAGAAAAAGAAGUAACAUUUGCUUUUAACGUUUAAAAAUAUAAUUUUGCUGCAAAUCAACAGACUUGGGAGUCAGGCACUAUUCAGUAAGAGAAAAACUCCUUCAACUUCCCCUAUAUAGAUAUGAUAACCAGCCAGGGAGGGUGGCUCAUGCCUGCAAUCCCAGCAAUUUGGGAGGUUGAGGUGGGUGGAUCGUUUGAGUCGUGGAGUUUGAGACCAGCCUAGGCAACAUGGCGAAACCCCAUCUCUACAAAAUAUACAAAAACAAAUUAGCUGGGUAUGGUGGCACGCGCCUGUGGUCCCAGCUACGCAGGGGGCUGAGUCAGGAGGAUCACUUGAGCCUGAAAGGCAGAGGUUGCAGUGAGCUGAGAUUGUACCACUGCACUCCAGCCUGGGUGACAGAGUGAGACCCUGUCUCAAAAGAAUAGAAAAAUAGGCCGGGCAUGGUGGCUCACGCCUGUAAUCCCAGCACUUUAGGAGGCCAAGGGGAGCGGAUUACGAAGUCAGGAGCAAUCUGCCCACCUCGGCCUCCCAAAGUGCUGGGAUUACAGGUGUGAGCCACCGCGCCGAGCCUAAAGUUAUUUUCUUCAAUUAAUCUUCUUGCCAUACUGUUUUAUUACUACAGAUUUUUAAAAUAUUUUCGUAUUUGGCAGGGCAAGUUCCACCACUACCACCUUUUUUUUAUUUUUUUAAGUUUCUCAAUCAUUCUUAUUUAUUCUGAUAAAAAACAAUUUGUAAAAUUCCAAAAAUAUUCCUAGUUGAAUUUUCAUGUGAAAUUUUAAAAUUUUGAACUUGAUAUUAAUAUCAGAAAAACCAAUCUUUUAUGUUAUUCAGCCUAGCUGCCAGGUGCCGUGGCAUGUGCCUGUAGUCCCAGCUACUGGGAAGGCUGAAGGAGGAUCGCUUGAGUCCAUUAAAAAAAAAAAAAAAUUUUUUUUUUGUUUAAGUUAUUCAACCUUUAAUGGAA